This 1131-nucleotide long non-coding RNA is filed under the name Ananas comosus (pineapple). RNAcentral's name for it is "long non-coding RNA (ACOM_LNC030948)". Lineage: Eukaryota; Viridiplantae; Streptophyta; Magnoliopsida; Poales; Bromeliaceae. The record is from RNAcentral.
AAUUAAAGUCUCUAAGCAGCAACAACAACAACAACCAUCUAAUUAAAUUCUAGAGAAAACUUCAAAAACCCUCUUGUGAUUUCGUAGUAUCUCACUUUGCCUUCCUGUGAUUUAAAAUAUAUCAAAUUGCCCCUUUGUGGUUUUAUUUUUAUCUUUUUGGUAGCUUUUUCGUUAAUAUUUCAUUAAAUUAUAUACAAAAAACUUCAGAUACCCAUCUAGAUUUAUCAAAUAUUCACUUUAGUAUUUUUUAAUUUUUAACUUUAUCACUGAUUUAAGAAAAAAAAAAUAAUAAAAUUGAUAAUAAAAAGAAAAAAACGAAACCACAGGGGGGCAAAAUUGAUACAUUUUAAACCACAGGGGAGCAAAGGUUGAAACUACGAAACCACAGGAGGGUUUUUUAAAGUUUUCCCUAAAUUCUAAGGGUGCGUUUGGUUCGAGUUAUCCUGGCAGGAUUACAGGCAAUCCUAUCAGGAUAACUGUGUUUGGUUAAUCCGCUAUGUAAUCUAGUCGUUAAUGUGGUAUUACAAAUCGAGUAGGAUUACAUCGAAAAAAUUAACGGGAGGGGGGUCGUGUAUCUUGUAUUACUGAAAUCCGUUAAUACUACAUAUUAUGUAAAAUGAUAAUUGUACCCUCCAACAAUCCCAAAUCUAAUUAGCAGCAUUAUUUUCAUCUCUCUCGCCUCCCCCCCUCUCUCUCGCACGUCGCUUUCUCUCGCUCUCUCUCUCUCGCACGUCUAUCUGUCUCUCUCUCUCUCUCUCUAUCUCUAUCUCUUUCUCUUUCUCGCACUAACAUCUAUCGUCUUCCCAGGUAAUCAUCACGAUCUCCUACCCUCCAUUCGUCAUUUUCGCAAAAUAUAAUAUUUAAAUGACCACAACAAGGGCAUUUUUAGAAAAAACUAUACUUUUAUGUCAGGAUUACUAAAUUUUAUAAACUGAACCAAACGUAUUAAUGCUAUAAACACUGUAAUCUAGUAUUACAUUACUGCAUUAAACCAAACGCGCUAAUGCAGCAUCAGUAGUAAUCUCACGCUGAAAUCCAAGAUACCUGGAUAUGUCGAGAUACUUUGUAAUAUUACAUAACUUGAACCAAACGGGCCCUAAUAAUAAUGCUUUUGUACAGAAAAAGUCAACC